This 1203-nucleotide ribosomal RNA is filed under the name Candidatus Phytoplasma australasiaticum. RNAcentral describes it as "bacterial SSU rRNA". It matches the Rfam family "Bacterial small subunit ribosomal RNA", at positions 173 to 1374 of the family's 1533-position model. The record is from RNAcentral. Lineage: Bacteria; Bacillati; Mycoplasmatota; Mollicutes; Acholeplasmatales; Acholeplasmataceae.
AUAGGAAGAUAAAAGGCAUCUUUUAUCUUUUAAAAGACCUAGUAAUAGGUAUGCUUUAGGAGGGGCUUGCGCCAUAUUAGUUAGUUGGUAGGGUAAUGGCCUACCAAGACGAUGAUGUGUAGCUGGACUGAGAGGUUGAACAGCCACAUUGGGACUGAGACACGGCCCAAACUCCUACGGGAGGCAGCAGUAGGGAAUUUUCGGCAAUGGAGGAAACUCUGACCGAGCAACGCCGCGUGAAUGACGAAGUACUUCGGUAUGUAAAGUUCUUUUAUCAAGGAAGAAAAGCAAAUGGCGAACCAUUUGUUUGCCGGUACUUGAUGAAUAAGCCCCGGCUAAUUAUGUGCCAGCAGCCGCGGUAAGACAUAAGGGGCAAGUGUUAUCCGGAAUUAUUGGGCGUAAAGGGUGCGUAGGCGGUCUAGUAAGUCAGUGGUGUAAUGGCAACGCUUAACGUUGUCCGGCUAUUGAAACUGCUAAACUUGAGUUAGAUAGAGGCGAGUGGAAUUCCAUGUGUAGCGGUAAAAUGCGUAAAUAUAUGGAGGAACACCAGAGCCGUAGGCGGCUCGCUGGGUCUUAACUGACGCUGAGGCACGAAAGCGUGGGGAGCAAACAGGAUUAGAUACCCUGGUAGUCACACGCCGUAAACGAUGAGUACUAAGUGUCGGGUUAAACCGGUACUGAAGUUAACACAUUAAGUACUCCGCCUGAGUAGUACGUACGCAAGUAUGAAACUUAAAGGAAUUGACGGGACUCCGCACAAGCGGUGGAUCAUGUUGUUUAAUUCGAAGAUACCCGAAAAACCUUACCAGGUCUUGACAUGUUUUUGCAAAAUGAUAGUAAUAUCGUGGAGGUUACCAGAAACACAGGUGGUGCAUGGUUGUCGUCAGCUCGUGUCGUGAGAUGUUAGGUUAAGUCCUAAAACGAGCGAAACCCUUAUCGUUAGUUGCCAGCACGUUAUGGUGGGGACUUUAACGAGACUGCCAAUGAUAAAUUGGAGGAAGGUGAGGAUCACGUCAAAUCAGCAUGCCCCUUAUGACCUGGGCUACAAACGUGAUACAAUGGCUGUUACAAAGGGUAGCUGAAACGCAAGUUCUUGGCCAAUCCCCAAAAACAGUCCCAGUCCGGAUUGAAGUCUGCAACUCGACUUCAUGAAGUUGGAAUCGCUAGUAAUCGCGAAUCAGCAUGUCGCGGUGAAUACGUUCU